UACGGAAGGCAGCAGUGGGGAAUAUUGCACAAUGGGCGCAAGCCUGAUGCAGCCAUGCCGCGUGUAUGAAGAAGGCCUUCGGGUUGUAAAGUACUUUCAGCGGGGAGGAAGGGAGUAAAGUUAAUACCUUUGCUCAUUGACGUUACCCGCAGAAGAAGCACCGGCUAACUCCGUGCCAGCAGCCGCGGUAAUACGGAGGGUGCAAGCGUUAAUCGGAAUUACUGGGCGUAAAGCGCACGCAGGCGGUUUUGUUAAGUCAGAUGUGAAAUCCCCGGGCUCAACCUGGGAACUGCAUCUGAUACUGGCAAGCUUGAGUCUCGUAGAGGGGGUAGAAUUCCAGGUGUAGCGGUGAAAUGCGUAGAGAUCUGGAGGAAUACCGGUGGCGAAGGCGGCCCCUGGGACGAAGACUGACGCUCAGGUGCGAAAGCGUGGGGAGCAAACGAGGAUUAGGAUACCCGGU
Molecule: ribosomal RNA, 460 nt
Filed under: uncultured bacterium
Lineage: Bacteria
Description: bacterial SSU rRNA
Rfam family: Bacterial small subunit ribosomal RNA
Source: RNAcentral